RNAcentral lists this small RNA (125 nucleotides) under Marmota monax (woodchuck). The record is from RNAcentral. Lineage: Eukaryota; Metazoa; Chordata; Mammalia; Rodentia; Sciuridae.
GCCAGGCGCUGUGGUGCGUGCCUAUAAUCCCAGCAGCUUGGGAGGCUGAGGCAGGAGGAUUGCCAGUUCAAAGCCAGCCUCAGUAAAAAGGAGGCACUAAGCAACUCAGUGAGACCCUGUCUCUA